ACGCUCGACACCUACGGGAGGCGGCAGUGGGGAAUAUUGCACAAUGGGGGAAACCCUGAUGCAGCGACGCCGCGUGAGUGAAGAAGUAUUUCGGUAUGUAAAGCUCUAUCAGCAGGGAAGAAGAUGACGGUACCUGAGUAAGAAGCCCCGGCUAACUACGUACCAGCAGCCGCGGUAAUCUGAGCGGGCUGGCAAGGC
RNAcentral lists this ribosomal RNA (198 nucleotides) under uncultured bacterium. RNAcentral's name for it is "partial 16S ribosomal RNA". It matches the Rfam family "Bacterial small subunit ribosomal RNA", at positions 328 to 539 of the family's 1533-position model. The record is from RNAcentral.